This 1359-nucleotide ribosomal RNA is filed under the name Thermaceae bacterium. Its description in RNAcentral is "partial 23S ribosomal RNA". It matches the Rfam family "Bacterial large subunit ribosomal RNA", at positions 475 to 1327 of the family's 2925-position model. The record is from RNAcentral. Lineage: Bacteria; Thermotogati; Deinococcota; Deinococci; Thermales; Thermaceae.
CCCUGGUGACCGAUAGCGAACAAGUACCGUGAGGGAAAGGUGAAAAGCACCCCGAUGAGGGGAGUGAAAGAGACCUGAAACCGGAUGCCUACAAGCAGUCGGAGCGGCCGAUCUGCGCGCGUAGCAAUACGCGCGCCAGGGGUGCCGUGACGGCGUACCUUUUGUAUAAUGGGUCAGCGAGUUUCUGUUGGCAGCGAGCUUAAGCCGUUAGGUGUAGGCGCAGCGAAAGCGAGUCUGAACAGGGCGAAAGGGUUCCCAUCGCGUUCGCGCGAUGGGGGUCCGUCAGUUGCCGGCAGAAGACCCGAAACCGAGUGAUCUAGCCAUGGCCAGGCUGAAGGUGGGGUAACACCCACUGGAGGGCCGGACCCACGCCUGUUGAAAAAGUCGGGGAUGAGCUGUGGCUAGGGGUGAAAGGCCAAUCAAACUCGGAGAUAGCUGGUUCUCCGCGAAAUCUAUUGAGGUAGAUCGUCAUGUGUUUGCCCCGGGGGGUAGAGCACUGGAUGGGCUAGGGGGUCCCAAAGACUUACCAAACCUAACCAAACUCCGAAUACCCGGAAGCAUAGCGUGGCAGACAGACGGCGGGUGCUAAGGUCCGUCGUCGAGAGGGAAACAGCCCAGACCGCCAGCUAAGGUCCCCAAAUCGUGGCUAAGUGGGAAAGGAUGUGGGAAUUCCAAAACAACCAGGAGGUUGGCUUAGAAGCAGCCAUCCUUUAAAGAAAGCGUAAUAGCUCACUGGUCUAUUAGAAAUCCUGCGCCGAAGAUGUAACGGGGCUCAAGCCACGUACCGAAGCUGCGGAAUCAGCGUGCAGUGGUCAGCUGUCAGCGGUCAGGAGGAAGCAAGUGAGUGGCGGUGUGGAAGGUCUGAAGGCUUUCCAGCUUGCCUACUCGCUGUCGCUCGAGGUGCAUCGGGCGAGCCUGUCCUGGCCGAAAAGUCGAGCAAUAUGGCGGCGUCGCCGAUCAGGUGCGGCGCGCGUCCAAGGCGAUCUGUGCCCUCAUGGUCGAGGGUUCCGGUCGUCGCCGUGCCUCGCAGGCGGAGUUCCGGCGCUAUCUGGUGAUGGCGCUGGCCUCGGCGGACGAGGCGCGGCUGUGGUGCCGCUAUGCCGAAGAUCUCGGCUAUGCGGCGCCCGACAACGCUGCAGCGUGGCGUGCCGCCUUCGAGGAGGUUGCGCGCCUGUUGCAGGGAUUGCUCGCACGAUCGGAUCAGGGCCGGGAGGCUUCUUCUCCUGACCGCUGACCGCUGACCCCUGACGGCUGAUUGGUAGCGGAGCGUUCCGUAGGCCUGCGAAGGGUGGGGGUGAUCCUGCCUGGAGGUAUCGGAAGUGCGAAUGCUGACAUGAGUAGCGACAAACAGAGCGAGAA